GAACGCGAAGAACCUUACCAGGUCUUGACAUCCCUCUGACCGCUCUAGAGAUAGAGUUUUCCUUCGGGACAGAGGUGACAGGUGCUGCAUGGUUGUCGUCAGCUCGUGCCGUGAGGUGUCGGCUUAAGUGCCAUAACGAGCGCAACCCUUUUCCUUGGUUGCCAUCAGGUAAUGCUGGGCACUCCAGGGAUACUGCCAUCGUAAGAUGUGAGGAAGGUGGGGAUGACGUCAAAUCAGCACGGCCCUUACGUCCGGGGCUACACACGCGUUACAAUGGGGGGUACAGAAGGUCGCUACCUGGUGACAGGAUGCUAAUCUCCAAAACCUCUCUCAGUUCGGAUUGGAGUCUGCAACCCGACUCCAUGAAGCUGGAUUCGCUAGUAAUCGCGCAUCAGCCAUGGCGCGGUGAAUACGUUCCCGGGUCUUGUACACACC
RNAcentral lists this ribosomal RNA (435 nucleotides) under uncultured bacterium. Its description in RNAcentral is "bacterial SSU rRNA". It matches the Rfam family "Bacterial small subunit ribosomal RNA", at positions 957 to 1391 of the family's 1533-position model. The record is from RNAcentral.